GCUCGUUUAGAGAACCUUUUCAUGAUAUGCUAAUUUUUUAAGAUAGGAAUUUUGGGUUUUCAUGAGCUGCAUGCCAAAAUCAUCAGUAUUAAAACAAUAAAAGACCUGAAAUAUUUCAGUUGGUGUGCAAUGAAUCUAAAAUAUAUGAAAGUUUAAUUUUUAUCAUUACAUUAUGGAAAAUAAUGAACUUUUAUCACAAUAUGCUAAUUUUUUUAGAAUGACCUGUACAGCCAUGUUUGAAAACUUUUCCCAGAAGUCAGUGUGGUACUAGGAAAAGGGCUUUUAACAGCUCCUGGUAUAAGGGCAUGGCUUGAAUAUUCUGUAAGUAAAGAUUCAGCAUAUUGUUUUGCCUGUAGGCAUUUUUCUCUGCCCAAUACACCUGAAUCUGCCUUCACUUCCCAGUCAGGAUUUUGUAACUGAAAAAAAGCUCUGUUUAAAGAUUCUGGGUUUAAGCUCCAUUCAAAGGCAGAGCAUCAUAUCAAUGCUAUGUGUGCCUGGAAUCAGCAUAAAAGGGCUGUUAACAGCAACUCAUCGAUGUUAGAUCUCAUAAAUGAGGACCGGAAAAAGAAAGUGGAGGAAAACCGUACCUACCUUAAAACAAUUGCAGAUGUGCUACUAUUAACUGCCACUCAAAAUAUAGCAGAGAUAUUGUGAAAUAUUGUGAGUCUUAUGACAACAAGGGCAUUUUUUUGACAAUCUUAGAAGAAAUUGCAAAGCAUGACCCUCUCAUUAAGAAAAGGAUAAAUGUAUGUGGCAAUGCUAAGUACACAAGCCACCAAACCCAGAACGAAGUUCUUGAGGGAUUAGCUGAGAUGGUACAAAGUGAAAUAAUCAGUGAAGUAAAAGAAUGCAAAGUUUUUAGUUAUUGUAGAUGAAACCAAAGAUUUAAAGAAAACAGAACAGAUCUCUUUAGUUGUGAGGUAUUAAGACGGGGCCAUCCAUGAAAGCUUUUUACACUUCCAGUCAGCUGAAAGCUUAGAUGCAGCAGGCCUCACAAAAAUGAUAAUUGAUUGCCUUGAAAAACAUGGCCUGGACUACAGAAAAAAUGUUGUGGGGCAAGUCUAUGACGGUGGAGCCGUGAUGAGCAGAAAGCAUUCUGGUGUGUCCACGCGGAUUAAAAACAGUGCAAGAUUCGCAUUUACUGUGCACUGUAAUGCACAUUGUUUGAAUUUGGUUCUUGUCGAUGCUGUAAAUUCUGUUCCUGAAUUGUGAGAUAAUGCAAGGGGUCUAGUCUCUCAACCCAAAGAGUACAACAUUCUUAUAUGAGGAGUAUCUUUUUGCCUUUGCUCAGAUAUUUGAGUCAGAUUUAGAGGACUUCAAACAUGAGGUUCAUCAAACCAAGCGGCUGGAAGUGACAGACCAUCUACUCUCCUUGACUUUGUUGUGUUUCUAGAACCUUAUAAAGAGGUCUUCCAUGAGCUAUUUCGACUUUGUAAGAUUUCUCUUGUUACACUUGUCAGCACUGCUUCUUGUGAUAGAAGCUUCUCAGCUUUAAAACUGAUUAAAACCCAGCUUAGGACAACAAUGGCUGAUGACAGGUUAAGUCACCUCGGAAUUCUCAGUGUUGAGUCAAGGAGAGCACGAUCCCUCAACAUGGAUGAAUUUGUGAAACAUUUUGCCAGUUCUCACCAGAGCCACAGAAUUAUGUUGAAUUAAAUCUUCCUAGGAUACGAUUGUAAUAUUGAUGGCCACUUAAAUUGUUAAUAUUUUUCAAAUCCAUGUCUGCUUGAUGCCUGCUAUAUCUAAUUUCAGUUUUUA
Molecule: long non-coding RNA, 1758 nt
Organism: Cyprinus carpio (common carp)
Lineage: Eukaryota; Metazoa; Chordata; Actinopteri; Cypriniformes; Cyprinidae
Source: Ensembl